AUUGAACGCUGGCGGCAGGCCUAACACAUGCAAGUCGAGCGGAUGAAGGGAGCUUGCUCCUGGAUUCAGCGGCGGACGGGUGAGUAAUGCCUAGGAAUCUGCCUGGUAGUGGGGGAUAACGUCCGGAAACGGGCGCUAAUACCGCAUACGUCCUGAGGGAGAAAGUGGGGGAUCUUCGGACCUCACGCUAUCAGAUGAGCCUAGGUCGGAUUAGCUAGUUGGUGGGGUAAAGGCCUACCAAGGCGACGAUCCGUAACUGGUCUGAGAGGAUGAUCAGUCACACUGGAACUGAGACACGGUCCAGACUCCUACGGGAGGCAGCAGUGGGGAAUAUUGGACAAAGGGCGAAAGCCUGAUCCAGCCAUGCCGCGUGUGUGAAGAAGGUCUUCGGAUUGUAAAGCACUUUUAGUUGGGAGGAAGAGCAGUAAGUUAAUACCUUGCUGUUUUGACGUUACCAACAGAAUAAGCACCGGCUAACUUCGUG
Molecule: ribosomal RNA, 484 nt
Filed under: uncultured bacterium
Lineage: Bacteria
Description: partial 16S ribosomal RNA
Rfam family: Bacterial small subunit ribosomal RNA
Source: RNAcentral